Molecule: ribosomal RNA, 482 nt
Filed under: uncultured bacterium
Lineage: Bacteria
Description: bacterial SSU rRNA
Rfam family: Bacterial small subunit ribosomal RNA
Source: RNAcentral
GAUCUUGGUCAGGACGAACGCUGGCGGCGUGCUUCAUACAUGCAAGUCGAACGAUAAGGCACCUUCGGGUGUACAUAAGUGGCGGACGGGUGAGUAAUAUGUAGAGAAUCUGCCCUAGAGCGGGGGACAACAGUUGGAAACGACUGCUAAUACCCCAUAUGAGCGUAGUUGAAAUACUAUUCUUGAAAACUCCGGUGCUCUGGGAUGAGUCUGCAUCUGAUUAGCUAGUUGGGGGUGUAAUGGACCACCAAGGCGACGAUCAGUAGCUGGUUUGAGAGGAUGACCAGCCACAAUGGGACUGAGACACGGCCCAUACUCCUACGGGAGGCAGCAGUAGGGAAUUUUGCGCAAUGGGGGCAACCCUGACGCCAGCAACGCCGCGUGACCGAUGAAGCCCUUCGGGGUGUAAAGGUCUGUCAGUGGGGACGAAACUUGACGGUACCCACAGAGGAAGCAUCGGCUAACUCCGUGCCAGCCGCUGC